GGGCAUUUGGUCUAGUGCUAUGAUUCUCGCUUAUUGUGCGAGAGGUCCUGAGUUCAAUUCUCGGAAUGCCCC
Triticum aestivum (bread wheat) is the source of this 72-nucleotide non-coding RNA. The record is from Rfam. NCBI's taxonomy places the organism in Eukaryota, Viridiplantae, Streptophyta, Magnoliopsida, Poales, Poaceae.